Molecule: ribosomal RNA, 1540 nt
Filed under: Staphylococcus aureus
Lineage: Bacteria; Bacillati; Bacillota; Bacilli; Caryophanales; Staphylococcaceae
Also listed under: 1 other name
Description: 16S ribosomal RNA
Rfam family: Bacterial small subunit ribosomal RNA
Source: RNAcentral
AGAGUUUGAUCCUGGCUCAGGAUGAACGCUGGCGGCGUGCCUAAUACAUGCAAGUCGAGCGAACGGACGAGAAGCUUGCUUCUCUGAUGUUAGCGGCGGACGGGUGAGUAACACGUGGAUAACCUACCCAUAAGACUGGGAUAACUUCGGGAAACCGGAGCUAAUACCGGAUAAUAUUUUGAACCGCAUGGUUCAAAAGUGAAAGACGGUCUUGCUGUCACUUAUGGAUGGAUCCGCGCUGCAUUAGCUAGUUGGUAAGGUAACGGCUUACCAAGGCAACGAUGCAUAGCCGACCUGAGAGGGUGAUCGGCCACACUGGAACUGAGACACGGUCCAGACUCCUACGGGAGGCAGCAGUAGGGAAUCUUCCGCAAUGGGCGAAAGCCUGACGGAGCAACGCCGCGUGAGUGAUGAAGGUCUUCGGAUCGUAAAACUCUGUUAUUAGGGAAGAACAUAUGUGUAAGUAACUGUGCACAUCUUGACGGUACCUAAUCAGAAAGCCACGGCUAACUACGUGCCAGCAGCCGCGGUAAUACGUAGGUGGCAAGCGUUAUCCGGAAUUAUUGGGCGUAAAGCGCGCGUAGGCGGUUUUUUAAGUCUGAUGUGAAAGCCCACGGCUCAACCGUGGAGGGUCAUUGGAAACUGGAAAACUUGAGUGCAGAAGAGGAAAGUGGAAUUCCAUGUGUAGCGGUGAAAUGCGCAGAGAUAUGGAGGAACACCAGUGGCGAAGGCGACUUUCUGGUCUGUAACUGACGCUGAUGUGCGAAAGCGUGGGGAUCAAACAGGAUUAGAUACCCUGGUAGUCCACGCCGUAAACGAUGAGUGCUAAGUGUUAGGGGGUUUCCGCCCCUUAGUGCUGCAGCUAACGCAUUAAGCACUCCGCCUGGGGAGUACGACCGCAAGGUUGAAACUCAAAGGAAUUGACGGGGACCCGCACAAGCGGUGGAGCAUGUGGUUUAAUUCGAAGCAACGCGAAGAACCUUACCAAAUCUUGACAUCCUUUGACAACUCUAGAGAUAGAGCCUUCCCCUUCGGGGGACAAAGUGACAGGUGGUGCAUGGUUGUCGUCAGCUCGUGUCGUGAGAUGUUGGGUUAAGUCCCGCAACGAGCGCAACCCUUAAGCUUAGUUGCCAUCAUUAAGUUGGGCACUCUAAGUUGACUGCCGGUGACAAACCGGAGGAAGGUGGGGAUGACGUCAAAUCAUCAUGCCCCUUAUGAUUUGGGCUACACACGUGCUACAAUGGACAAUACAAAGGGCAGCGAAACCGCGAGGUCAAGCAAAUCCCAUAAAGUUGUUCUCAGUUCGGAUUGUAGUCUGCAACUCGACUACAUGAAGCUGGAAUCGCUAGUAAUCGUAGAUCAGCAUGCUACGGUGAAUACGUUCCCGGGUCUUGUACACACCGCCCGUCACACCACGAGAGUUUGUAACACCCGAAGCCGGUGGAGUAACCUUUUAGGAGCUAGCCGUCGAAGGUGGGACAAAUGAUUGGGGUGAAGUCGUAACAAGGUAGCCGUAUCGGAAGGUGCGGCUGGAUCACCU